GCUUCUUGGGCACCCGCGGCUAGCUUUACCCCUCUAGUAUGGCCAUGACCCUAUUAGCAGUGUGAAUUUACCGCAUCAGAAUUACGUCAUCACUAAGCCCCACCUCUGCGCCUGUCCUCCAGCUCUAUCAGCUUGACCAAUCUUAGCUUGAGGAGAACAUUUAGAACCAUGGUCGGGAUGCUUCCGGACCAAGGGCAACCUGUUCCUGACAGGGUCAGCAAAGCUGUGCUUCCUCCUCUGAUGGGUUUGUAAGCCUGGCAGAGAGAAGAAAGCGAGGAGAAGGAAUGCUGGUUCCUCUGCCAGCCAGCUCUGUUUAUGAAAUUCCUGAUUGUCUCCAGAAACGAGAGGAAAGCUAAGUGCUUGGUGGUUUCUCUGUGUAGCCCCGA
RNAcentral lists this long non-coding RNA (386 nucleotides) under Mus musculus (house mouse). Its description in RNAcentral is "RIKEN cDNA 4933425B07 gene". The record is from RNAcentral. Lineage: Eukaryota; Metazoa; Chordata; Mammalia; Rodentia; Muridae.